RNAcentral lists this long non-coding RNA (11865 nucleotides) under Olea europaea subsp. europaea. Lineage: Eukaryota; Viridiplantae; Streptophyta; Magnoliopsida; Lamiales; Oleaceae. The record is from RNAcentral.
CCCUUCUUUGUUGUCCAAUUUGGUCCCACCGACUUGUCGAACCUGGGGCAGAAUCAACAAGUGGGCUUCAAACUUGAUAAAGAAAUCAUAAACACCAAAGCUAGCAAAGAGUUUGCAAGAUUUGUUCGAAGAACUUCUUACUUGAAUCAUUUAGUAUUAGCCGUGAAAUUGUGUGAAGCUUUUAUUUUCAAAGAAGUUUUCGCAAGUUGUUUGUUGAGGUACUCUUGGAUCCGUUGUAGCAAAAUGUUUGUGAUAUAUGAAAAUAAACAGGUUUUGAUCAUCAAUAUUAAUCUUAGUUGACCCAUAUAGUUUUGUUCCUAACAUUAAACCAAGCCCGUCAAAAUGUGUUACUAUGAUUUUGUAUCUCCAUCCUUCAAGUUAGAUUACAUAUCUUCAAUGUUCUAAUUGAACAUUUUGAUUGUAUUUUUGUCGUAUCAAGAAAAAUGAUAUGAGAAGAAAUCCAAUUUCUCCAUUCAUUUAUUUGAAUUUUUCCUUUUCUUUUUGGCAUCUUCCCACUUUUUUGGGCAUUUGGAGGUGAAUACAGGUUGAGUUUUACAAGAGUUAUCUUUAGCCUUUGUCAGAAUUGUAAAAAUUUCCUACGUGAUUUGCUUGCUGUGAAUUUGGAUAUUUUGUUCCCAACCAUUUUCACUGAUCACUAAAUAACAAUAAAAGGCUGAAGGUACACUCGAAAGUAGUUGCCUAUUCUAUAUCGGUGAGAACAAAAAGGUGAAGAGAAAUACAUUACUUAUUUAUAAAGCAAAAUAGAUUUUUCUAGAUGGUUCGCAUAUUCUUGCUAAGUUUAGCUUUACAAACUUUCUAUAGCACCAAGUUUUCAACUUAUGUUUACACUUUGGAAGUACUUGACGAUUGAAAUUAUAGUAACUCAUUUAGUUAUAGCUUAUAUUACUUAUCAUUUUUCACUACCAUCACAAUUGCUAUUUCUAUUUCACCAUGAAAAUAAACUAUUCUUUUUCUUUUUUUUUUUAUUAAUGAAGAAUCAACUCCAACAAAUGAUAGUGUAAUCCCUGAAGAUAUUUCACCAUGAUAUUUUUUCAAGUACCAAUUUCUUGUUAUUUCUGCUUCAAGUUUAUCGUAUAACUAAGGUAUGUCAAUUUUAUAGUAUUUUAGUUUAGGUUUAUUUGUUUGUUCUCGUCAGGCUCAUUUCUUUUCCCAAGAUGUAAAUAAUUUCUUGUGCUGUUGAUUUCUCAUCAUUUCUGUUUUGAAUCUUGUGUUGUCAGUGUGGUAAUUUUUUAUUUUGCUUAUACUUUUUAAGGAAUUUGGGGUAAUAUCAGUCUGUUAUCAAUGGUAUUCUGAGUCUUUUCAUUCGAAGCACAAAUCAAAUUUGAAUUUUUUUAUGUAGGUCUUAUGUGGGGGUAUGGUUAGAAUUUGGGAGUUAAUUAAUUGAAUUAAUUGCUAUGGAUCAUGUUGUAGGUCGAAAAUUCAAGUUUGGGAGGAAAAUUAGGAGAGGUUAAUCCAAUUGGCAUGAAGGCAUUCAAAGAUAUAGUAGUAGAGACUCUCAGCAUCAACACAUGUCAACAUUUGAUGCAAUCCUUAACACAAGUACUUCUGCAGCUUAAUUUAUUGAAAAGGAAAAUCAAGGUUUGAAAAUGUACCUAUUUAUAUAGUUACGUAGUUUUUGCAAUAUAAAUGUUGUAAGUGAGUAUUGAAGUUUGCUCUUCUUAUCAUUAUGUAGAGUACUGAAUGGAGCGAACAAAUGUACUUAGGUCUCAUGCCGAGAAUAUCAUUCAUACAAAUUACUAAUCAGGCCUUCUGGUAAGUCAGUAUUGCUUCACGUUGGUAGGUUCUUGUAACGAUAUGUUGUAGAUAUGUAUGUUAAGAUUGAAACUGCUAGAUUAGAUUAUUUUCAUAAUAACCAAAAACAAAAUCAUGCUAAACUUUUUAAAGGUAUUGUCGAUAGUGUUCAAAAUGGGAAAACAAGAAGGGUGUAAAAUUGGACGAAAAUUUGUUUUACCACAAUCUUUUACAUGUGGUCCUCGUGACAUGCUAAGGAGAUAUAUGGAUGGAAUGGUUAUUGUACAAUAUUAUGAAAAAUCAGAUAUAUUUUUAACUAUAACAUGUAAUCCAAAUUGGCCAGUGAUUAAGUAAGAACUAAGUAAUAAUGAUGAAGUUCAAAAUUGAUCGGAUUUAAUUGUGCGUAUAUUCAGAGAAAAAUUAUAAGAGUUGAAACAUAAUUUAUACAAGGCAAGUAUUUUAGGCACAGUUGUUGCACAUAUAUAUGUUAUUGAAUUUCAGAAAAGAGGUCUUCCUCAUGCUCAUUUGUUGUUAAUUUUCAAUUAUGGACAUAAAAUUUCUUGGGCUGAAGAAGUUGAUAGAAUAGUUUGCUAUGAAAUUCCUGACAAAAACAAAUAUCUCCAUCUACAUUCUGUUAUCAUUAAACAUAAUAUGCAUGAUCCUUGUGGAAAAUUUAAUUCGAAAAAUGUUUGCAUGGAAGCAAAUAAAGGCUGUAAAAAUAAAUACCCUAGGGAUUAUUGUGAUAGAACUAUAUUUGGUCUAAACUCAUAUAUAUUGUAUAAAAAUUGUAAUAAUGGUAUUUCUAUUCAAGUUAGAGGCCAAAUGUUAGACAAUUGAUGGGUCGUACUUUACAAUUCUUAUUUAAGUAUAAAAUUUGAUUGUCACAUUAAUGUUGAAGUAUGUUCUUCUAUUAAAGCCGUGAAAUACUUGUAUAAAUAUGUGUAAAAAGGACAUGAUCGUAUUAAUUUUUCAGUUCAUACGAGUGAAACAGAGAAAGAAACAGAUGAAAUUUUAGAUUACCAGUCUGCUCGAUGGAUAUCUCCACCUGAAGCGUGAGGAGAAUUUUUUCAUUCAAUAUGGCUAAAAUUUACCCGAUAGUCUGUUCUUUACAGCUUCAUGUUGAAAAUUAUCAACAAGUUACAUACGACAAUGAAGAUGAUUUGUCUACUAUUGUUGACAAUGAAAAUACGAAACAAAAAAUGUGAAUAGAAUUCUUUCAAGAAUAGAAUUCUCAACACAUUUUGUUUGGAAUGCAAAUAAGAAUAUUUGGACUCGCAGGAAAAAAACAUGUUAUAGGAAGAAUUUUUAUAGUAAAUCUAUCUGAAGGAGAACGAUAUUUUCUUCGAGUUCUGAUGGGCCAUAUUAGAGGGCUAACAUCAUUUCAUGAUUUACGAACUUCAAAUGAAGUCAUUGUUCUUACCUACCGUGAAGCAGCACUUCUGCAUGGUUUGUUAACCGGAAAUAAUCAUUGUGAAGAAUGUCUAUCUAAAUCUAUAGUUUACGAAAUGCCUUUUUUUUUAAGACGUCUCUUUGCUACCAUUCUUAUACUUUGCAGCCCUAAUAAUCCAAAGCUUCUAUGGGAUAAAUUCAAAUGUUAUAUGAUUGAUGAUUAUAUACAUGAAAAAAUAACUUCAAAAGUUGUUGAAGUAUGGGCUCUAGAGGAUAUCAGUUUUAUCUCAGAAUCCUUAGGUAAAAAUAUAAAUGACUAUCAAAUAGUGUCAUACAAUGUAAAUACGAACAAGAAUGAUAGAUUGAGAAGAAUGGUAGAAGAUGAGACAACGAAUUUGGAUAUUGAAGGAGGUAAUGCUUAUGCGAAAAAGUUAAAUGACAAACAACAAUUUGCAUACAAUAUGAUAAUGGAAAAAAUAUCAUCAAGAUUAAAUGGUGCUUUCUUUAUUGAUGGCCCAGGAGGAAUAGGCAAAACUUUUUUGUAUAAAGCAUUAUUAGCUAAUAUGAGAUCUCAAAAUUCAAUUGCUUUGGCAACUGCAUUUUCUGGAGUAUCUGCAUCCCUCUUACUUAGAAGUUGAAUUUCUCAUUCAAAGUUUAAAAUUCCUUUAGAAAUAUUUGGUGAUGUAAGCUACUCGAUCAACUUUAGGAAUUUUGUUGAAAAUGUCAAAAUUAAUCAUUUAGGAUGAUGCACCCAUGGUCAAUCAUUGUGCCAUAGAAGCUGUGGAUAAUAUGCUAAGAGAUAUUACUGAUUGUAACUUACCUUUCAGUGGGGAAGUAUAGUUCACGGAGGGCAUUUUCGACAAGUUUUACCAAUGAUACCAAAAGAGAAAAAAGAAGACAUAAUGAAAGCUAGCUUAGUCUUCUUUGAAUUAUGCCCUUCUCUUUUACAUCUAUCAUUAACUGAGAUUAUGAGGGCAAAAGUUUGAUCCUACUUUCUGUGAUUACUUGUUUAGAAUUGGAAAUGGAACAGAGGAACACUAUACUUGUAAGGGUAUUGAGCGUCCAAAUAAUGUAAUUGUACCAUUCAAGAAUGAGAUAACACCUUUAAAAUGUUUGAUAUAUAAUGUCUUUUCGAAUAUAGAAGCUCAUGAUGACAAUUUACACAUGAUGCCAAAUCGAGCUAUUCAUACACCUAGAAAUGAAUGUGUUGAUCAUAUUAAUAAGUUAUUAGAAUAGAUUCCUAGUGAAAUUUUUACGCAUUGAUGGAGUAAUUGAUAAAUUAGAAUAGGGCUUGCAAGAAGAUUUACUCAAUAGUCUGACUUCAAAUGGUAUUCCAUCCCAAGAAUUGAACCUUAAAGUAUACUAUCAUGUAAUGUUAUUACGAAAUAUCAACCCUUUUGAAGGAUUAUACAAUGGAACAUCACUGACUUGUCGAAAAUUUUAGAAGAAUGUAAUUCUUGCAGAAAUUACGUCUAGCGAAUAUCUUGGAAAACAUUUCUUCUUACCAAGAAUCCCUUUUAUACCACUUGAAAGUGAUAAGUCUUCAAUUCCAUUUAAAAGAACUUAAUUUCCAAUUAGGUCAUGCUUUGCAAUGACAAUAAACAAAGCAUAAGGACAAACACUUGAUUUUGUUGGCUUAUAUCUUCCAGAACCUAUUUUUUGUCAUAGCCAACUUUACAUAGCACUAUCUAGAGCUAAAACAAUCAAGUCCCUCAAAGUUUUACUUAACCCAUCAAGCAACGAAAGUUUAGACAACACAUGUACUAAAAAUAUUGUAUAUAAGGAAAUUCUAUCGUCGUACAUAUAUAGAAAAACUUAAAUUGAAUUGUUUCAGUGCUAUCUUCUUCAAUGAACAAGUAAACAUAAAAUUUACUUUCAAUUUCUGCCUUCGAAAGCGAAAAAGAGGGGACAAAAAUUGAAGGCUGGAGUUGCACUUUUGAUUCUAACACGGGAUAUCGACAAAAAAUUGGUAGUCAGUAAAUAAAUUCACCUGAAGAUUUCAUAUAUGUUCUUGAAAUGUUUGUUUUAUUAUUAUGGAUUUUAUGUUAUAUAAUGAUAUCAGGCAUUUGAAGCACCAUCCUUUCAUCAUCUUGCAAAUGCAGAUUUAAAAAUGAUGACUUGAAAAUUUGUUGGUGGUUCUGCUGCAACUGAGUUGUUCCUUCUUACUAUCAAAAAACGUAAAUCUAUUGUUAGAAAAAAGUACACAUAUGUUUUUCAGAGCUUCUUUUUUUAUUCGAAGUUAAACUCACAUUUUAUCUAAUAUAUUUGACUGUUUGUAGAUAUCAAUCUACUUAAUUCAAUGAUCUUUAAAGAAUUGACUGCAAGAAGUAAACUUAUAUUGAUAGUCAACAAUUAUCCAUCAUUGAGGCAAUCUGUUAUUCCCUUUUGUUCUUUGCAAACUCAUGUGUUAAGUAAGCUACAUAAAAUUUUAUUGUUGUUUUUUGGUAAUUGUAUAAACUCGGGUGUUUGUAAAUUUUUUUCCUAAUUCUCCUAUUUUCUUCUAUUAUUGUACUUCAUAAUUUAUUUAUUUUUUUAAGCAUGAGUGGUUUUAAAUUGAGGACUGAAUAUUUCUUGACUUGAUCUCAGGUACCCAGAUUAAAACAAUUGUUUAGUAUGCUCCUUCACAGUGUGUUCCAAAGCAGUGGUCUAAAAAGGAUGGGUACGAAUGGACCAUAUUGAAAGGUGUUUAACUUAUUCUAAUUGCAUGUGGUUUCGAUGUUAUCAUUUGUUCAUUUUGAAUAACAGCUGAUUUGUUGAUAUACAUGUAGAUCUUGAAUAUUAGGAGUUCCUUGAAUUAUUGCAAAGCCUAUAGAGAAUCUUGCUAGUGUAGAGACACGGUUGGAAAGGAAGGAGUUGGAACGAGCUGGUGAGCUGAUAGUUUUAGCUUAUGUAUACUCGUAGGACAAUCCGAGAUUUAAUUUUUGAAAUAGUACAAUGUGAAGUCGAGAAAUGUUGUAUUGCCCUUUUAGUUUAAAUGAUUUCCUAAUUUCCUUUUAAGUGUGCUACAACUUUAAGGUUGCAAACCCAAGUACAGGUUGUCGCAAGUAGUAAAUCUCGGAAGUUCGAGGUUGAACCACAGGGAAUUGGAAGGAAAUAAACUAAUCUAUGAGUAGUGAACGGUUGGUGGAAAUAUGAUGAAGAUGAACACUAGAGCAUCGGGGAUUCACUUCGGAAAAUGAGUAGAAAUUGUCCUUGAUCUUUAAUUUAACUCAUGAAAAUCAAGUUAGGAGUGAUCUCAUAUGGAAGAUAAAACAUUGAUCACAAAUAUAUUAAAAGGUAGAUCUUGAUCAUUGUUUGAGAGAAUAUGUCAAAAUAAGUUGUUAGAAUGUAGAGAUUAUCUAAGCAUUUAUUGUGCCAGAAUUGUCAACAAUAAAUCAAAGUCUUUAACAAACCAAAACCAUUUGUAGAACAUAUACUUCAACCAAGUAAGAAGAUGAACAUUGAAGAACAAAAUGAAAGAUCAAAGACAAUACUAAACAUUCAUCAAAGUUUCACCCUUAGCUCUAGCUAAAUAUUUAGAAAUACAUAGUGAAAUGUUACAAAGAAAAUGAAAGAAACUAGAAUAUGAUGAAGAGGAAUGGAUUCUCUCAAAAUCAUGGCCAAGGUCCCCUUUUAUAGGCAAAGGAACAUCCAAAAUUCAAGUAGGCAAUGCAACUUGCUUCUGUCCAACUUCAAGACAGCUGAAACAUGCAACUUGAUGCCAAUUUUUAGAUACAUUGUGUAGCGAAUUUGAACUUAUUAUCAACAGAUAAAUUAUUACCACUUGAGUUAUCUUUCCAUUGGUUCAAAUAUCAGGUUCAUUGGAUCUAUAUAACUCCAGAUAUGACAAAAACAAUAAGUGCUGCUUCACAGGUAAAGCUGUAUCCGGCAGGUAACAAGCUAGAAUUUUCACGGUAAUUUUGGCUGCCUUAUGAUACGAAUUCGACUUCUUGCAAAACAUGAAAGUUGUAGAAACAUGCCUUAUAUUUCCAACCCAACUUGAAUCACCUCAAUCCAAUGUCUGCAGCUCAAGCUAUGAUUAUUUUACCGACAGCUGCUUCUUGCUUGAGACAGUCACUAUUUUUGACUUUUCAACAUUAUUUUCCUCCACUUGCUCCACUUGUUCUAAAUUAGAAAUACAUGUGAAAUACAUCAAAUAGAUACUCUUUCAAAUGUAUAAUACUCAUGCCAACAUGUAUGUAAAUACGUAUUUCAAUUAAUUGCAUUUUUAACCAUGUAUUUAUGGAAAUUGAAUUUACGGCAAGAGAAUUGAAAUUAGAGACUAACAUUAGUGAAUUUAAACAAAUUGAAUGUAAAAUGUCUUGUAAAUUUUAUAUCUUUGAAGCACUUUUAGACAAUAAUCAAAGUGCUUCAAAGGAAUGCUUCUAUAGCUACUCCUUUAAUGGACUUUGUUCUUGAAAAAAGAGCUGCAAAGAGUGGAACUUGGAUAGGAAAAUCUUACCAUUUGUUCACUAGUAUUUUAUAUUUCCCCUUUUUAAGGAAAUAUAUAGUUUUAUCUAAGCUGCUAAUUGGUAACGAACUUCCUGCAUGUAGCAUAAUUAGUAGCGGAUAUUCUCUCAGAAUGUUCACAUUAUCUUGAUAGCUUCGAGAUUUUUAUGUUUAAAUUUUUCUUUUUAACAUAAACAGGUUGACAAGAUGAAAGUUUUUUUAGAAUCGCUUUUCAGCUCCACUUCUAAAGUUGAGAAGCGCAUCUCAAAUAAUAGGUAUUAAAUUCCAUAUAAAAAAGAUUAUGCAAGUCAACCCCCUUUCGUUAAUUUUAGUCCAAGAAUAAGAUGCUUAUAAUGAUUUGAUCUUUAUUUUUAUCUACUUGCAUUCACUUUUUUAAGACCUUUCAAUCUCUUAUAUUCAUUCACUUCUUUGGAAGGCAUUUGCCAUUUGAAGUUUUAUGUGACUUCAACCUUCAAUGCAUGCUCAUUGGCAGUGUUACUUAUUGAGAAUGGUAAUUCUUAUUAUGCGUUUUAUUUAAUCUAUUUCCUUAAAUUUUUUUACAGCUUAGAAAGAAGAACUGUUAAAGUUUCGAGUAAGCAAAGCAAGCGAAGUUAGAGAAAUAGAAAAGAUAUUUUCCCACAUACUUUAUUACUUUUGACUAAGUAUGCGGAUGUGUUCAGAAAAUGAGAACAAAGUAUACGUCUUUGAUUUUAGAUUCUAAGAUACACAUGUAAAGACCAUUCUUUGGUGUUUAUUAUGAGUGAACCGAUAUACAGCAGAAUUUAACGUCUUUUACUUACCUCCUAUUUUGCUAAUAUUAAAGGGAAAAAAUGAUGCAUUAAGAAGUAUAAAAUGCACUAUCAUAGUGGAAUCAUAUUAGUUUCAAUGAUCCAACCAUAUAAAAAUAAUUUGCUCUUCUGAGUUUUUUAAAAAUGGAUGACUUGUUUACAAUUUAGUUAUUUCAAUAGAAAGUUUUCCUGUCCAAAAUGAUUGCAUUUGAUAAUUUUUGUUCGAUUAAAUCUAUGAACAAGUGGGCAAGCAUUUUUCUAUAAAUGCUGAAGCACAAUCAUUAGCCUUUUAACCACUGGAUUGAAGCUGUGAGUUACUAUUUUCUUCAUAUCCUUUGUUGUGAACUGUAUUUAAUUAUAAGUUACCAGUUAUUAUCUAAUAGUAGUAUCAUUUGAGUUGAUAUAGAUUCUUAUGCACAUUAUGUAUGUUCAUCCAAGCUACCAUUUUAGACACAGCUUACGUUUCUGUUAUGACAAGUGGUGUAAAAGUAAUACCUGUGAACACUUUUUCCAAUGGCAAUAAAGAUCUGAAAUUAGUUGUUGUUUUGGAACUUUGAUUUAUAGUGGAAGUAUCAUAGUUUAUCCAAGUUGGUUAACAAAUCUUACACAUGGCAAACAAAUCAAUGUUCAGCAAUAGUCAAGAUCAAAGCUUUGUGAACAGAUUAUGAAGUAUUCAUGUUUAUCUAUCAACUUAUCAUUUCUCAAAGCAAAGUGGUGGUUCUAUUUUUUUAUUUUUUAUUUUUUGGUAAUUAUUGCUUUUUUUACUAUUACCUAGGUGAUUAUAGCUUCAUAGUAUUGGAUUGUUCUAUCUAAUAUUUUCCUAGACAAAUGAAAACUUAAUUUAUCUUUACUUAAACUUUUAACAGUUGAAGGUAGCUAUUUAGUGCUACAAUUGAACAGUUGGAUUAAUAAAUAUCUGUUGUAUGCUUCAUUGUCUUAAUUUCUAUUGCUUAUUCAGCUAACAUUAAUCAGUAUUUGUAUGUCAUAUUUCUGGUUGUCGAGCCUGCAGGAAUGCUGAUUUUUGUCUUCAUACUUCCUUAUGUGUUUAGUUGAAUUUAAUUAGUUCAAACCAGAUUUAUCAUUUAUUCAUUAGGAUAUUUGAUAAUAUUUUUCAUGCUUUAAGGAAAUUAUUUCAAGUACCUUAUGGAGUUCUCUAUUGACCAUGAUUUGUAUGCCAUUAUAAACAAUCUCCUGGACUUUCUUCUCAAUGGAAUAAUGGGUUCAGGCUAGCAACCUUCUUGAAGUUUGUACUCGAAGAGAUAGGUCUCCUUUACCGAGCAGUGCAGAAAAAUUCUAGGUCUCUUGUAGCGCUACUGUUUAGAUUCGCCCCUGAGAGUAUCAGAUGAACUAAAAUCAAAAAAUGAAUCCAUGGUUGAAUAUGAUAGAAUUUUUAAUUGAAAUUUGAUGAUGUAGGGCUGAAAAACGUUGCUGCUGGUGGGGAUGCAUCUAACAAUAUAUUGGAUACACUAACAGAUGAUCCUAAAACGGUAAUAUAGUUUUUCUUUCCAUCACUUUCAAUGUUUGUAGGGAACCAUUGAAAUUUGUUCUUUCACACAUGCGUUUUCUUAGAAACCCUUCAUUAUCUUACUAGGCUUAUGUUUGCUUACCCUUCAAAUUUGGGAAUUGUGUAAAUUUUGGGAAUGGAUUUGUGGAGGUGAAAUGUAAUUGUUAACUAAAAAGUAAUGAAAUGCUUUGUUAGAGAUAAAAGCUUUGGAUACAUCAUUUUUCUCUAUCCUUUGCAUCCCUCUAAAUUUAUCUUAGCUUAAAAGGAAAAAUGUGUUCAAAACAAGUUUUAGCUGCCACUCAGAUACUGGGAAAUGCAAGUAAGAAGUAAUUACAAGAAACAAAAGAUGCUAUGAGGCAAUUUAUAUGAGUGUUUUAGGUGCAUUUUUUGGAAGCUAAAUUGUCAUAAAAAAAACUCAAUGAUCAAAGUUUUAAAGGACUAAUGAUGAUUCUAAAUAUAUAUGUAGGAUGCUAAAAAAUGAAAAUGCCGAGCACAUUCUUAUCUUGUUUGUUUAUCAUUUUUAUUGAAUUGAUAAUAUGGACUUUGUUCAGGUACUUGACAGAUUAUUUUAGAGCUGGUCGUCUUUCAUAUGGAGCCAUUGAAGAGCACGUCUGCAGAACGAAGACUUGUCUUUGAUCUUUCUCGAGUUGAAAUCCGCCUAGCCAAAGGUGGUACUGAGAUGGUGAAAGGUGAGCCUCCUACUAGAAAGUUCGACAAGCUUUUUGACUCUAACUAAAGAACCAAUCCAACACACACCGAUAUCCCAAACUAAGGAGCGAUCGAGGGAGAGAAAGAAAGAAAAUGCACACACUCCUUAUUCGCCCUUCACUAAACUCGACCACCAAAUCGUCUAAAUGGAAUGCAUUUAUUAGGAAAGUGUGUUCAGUCAAAAAAAGAGCUCAGCAAAGUCCCCAUGCUAUAUGCGGCGACAAUGCAAUCUAAACCUACUUAUCAUCUUAAGCCACGUCGAGAGAAGAAACCUAAAGCAGAACAAAAUGAUUGAGAGGCUUACGUAGACCUUUGCAUAACUCGAUGCAUAUCAUGAAUAGAUUUAUGUUAACAAAAAUUGUUUAGAUUUCAUCAUUCCAUCUUUGUCCUUUACUUUGGAGAAUGCAAAAGAAAAACUACAAAAAAAUAACUUCACUUUCACCUUUUCAAUCUCCCCAGACAAUACUUGAAGAACUAGGCACAUGAUAUGCUAAUAGAUCUCUCUUAUUUUUUGUAAGUUGUCCAUAAAUAUUCCAGUAGGUCUUGCCAUAUGCAUUUUUGAGAAACUAGAUGAACCUAAAAUUCCCACCACAUCAUGCAUUUUGUAGCAUUACCCAUCAGCUUGCUUUUGUAGUGUUAGAGUUACUAUUCUAUAUGCUUAUAGAGCCACACUGUUUCUUUAGCAACAAAUCUCUAUGGACGAAUAGUUUAUUACAUAAUUAUUUCUCCUUUCAAAAACCUUCUAUUGCAUAAGAUAAAACACACUUUUUCUUAAUCUUAACGACUCCAUAUUCGUUACAUAAUUUACAGUCUUCCACCACAUUAACCAGUUAUUUUUUAUUGGAUAUUCUGCUAACUAAAUUUAAUUGUUGUUCUUGUAGAUUUUCCCAAAGCCAGCAUUAAUUUGACUAUAUGUUAGCCGAAACUUUUACAAAGUUAAAAAAAACGACAGCUCUUUACAUCUGUCGUUAUACAUAUUCGGUUCAAGUUCACUUAUUUUUCAAAAACAGCAAGACAUAUAAAAUUAGCAAUAUCACUUCUUGUUAUACUUAAUCACAAAUUCAAACUUUCUACCUUACUACAACUUUAAAUCGUACGAGUGACACUUUAAUUGCGUUUACAAAAAGUAAAAUAGAUAACCAGCUCUUAUUCUUGUAUUUUCAAUUCAUACAACUGUUGUCUUACAAGAUUUUUACCGGUAUAAUUACACUUGCAACAAUAACUUGCUGGACUUUUUUGUUUCUUUUUCUACAGAAAAGCAGUACAAGUAAAUAUUGCGUACAAACUGUGAACAUA